This is a long non-coding RNA of Cyprinus carpio carpio, 1159 nucleotides long. The record is from Ensembl. NCBI's taxonomy places the organism in Eukaryota, Metazoa, Chordata, Actinopteri, Cypriniformes, Cyprinidae.
AUGAGAAUCUUCAACAUAAUGUAGCACAGCUCAUCUUGAAAUUUGAAAUUUCAAUCAUUUGAAUUAUCAAUUUUAUAUCAUGAAAUAAUGUUAAAAACUUGUAAAUUACAUUUAGAAAUGGGUGCACAUCACAGAGGCAGAAAAUUGUACAAUCAUCUUUCUCUAAUAAGUGACUGAUGUCCAUUUUCUUCUCCAAGAAUGAUAUUUCUUUGGUCCCUUCCCACUUCCUGAUGAACAAGUCUUCUUUCACAUCUGUAAACCCUCAGUUAGGGGGGUGCCGUCCCCCCGGGAUUUCCGCCUAUGGACACUCCUGGGAAAAAAAACACACACACAAUGACGUAAAAAUAUGUGGUUUUGGCGAGUUACCUCAUAAACUCAUCUUAAAUGAGUUAUUAAGCCCAAAAUGACCAUAAAGAGUUGGGAGAAAACGUCUCAGGAUUUAAAGAGACAGCGCUGCUUUUAAAGUGAAACCUGCUGUAGUGUGUGACUUAUCAAAGAACAAAAGAAAAAGAAAAAACACUCGACUGUUCUGCUUGCUGAUUAAAUUUUGUAUCUUAAUAAAGUUUCAUUAAUAUAGCUUAUGCAUACAAUUUAGAAUUUAUGUUAAGAUUUUUUUAAGUUCACCUAAAUUAAAAUUUGUUUUAUUGUUCAAAGCCUAAUAAAUGUUGAAAAUAAUGGCUUUCAAUUAUACUGUCAUGUUAAAUGGCUAUAAUUAAUGGCUAAAAUUGAGGGGAAAAUUAAUAUAAUAGAGACAUCGGUAACAUUAUUGGUAUCAAUGAUACUGGUCUUCAUUAAUAAUAGGCUAGUAAAAAGAUGUCAUUAAACAUAUUUAAAACGCCAUCUUUAUGUUGUUUCUAUAUUCAUUUGGAUAGCACUAAUGUUAACCUUUUAUAGCCUAGAUGCUACUGUAUGUAAUAUUAUUUCAUUUUACUGCUGAAUAGGCAUUUACAUUUAAUUUCUAAUUUUAAAGGGACCCCAGAAAGAGAUUGGGAUGGCCCCUACUCCCCUUCAAAUUUUCAGUUUGAUAAUCUGGACCUCAAAUGAAGCUAACUGAAUAGCCCUGAGUUAGAGUGUCUUUCUCUCUUUAUGUCCUCUAAGGAUUGUAGGCCUCUUCCUCAAGCAAUGUCAGCAGGCAAGUUGUGGUGCUGGUGCCAGUCCU